Molecule: ribosomal RNA, 352 nt
Filed under: uncultured bacterium
Lineage: Bacteria
Description: bacterial SSU rRNA
Rfam family: Bacterial small subunit ribosomal RNA
Source: RNAcentral
AGAGUUUGAUCCUGGCUCAGGAUGAACGCUAGCUACAGGCUUAACACAUGCAAGUCGAGGGGAAACGACAUCGAAAGCUUGCUUUUGAUGGGCGUCGGCCGGCGCACGGGUGAGUAACGCGUAUCCAACCUGCCCAUCACUUGGGGAUAACCUUGCGAAAGUAAGACUAAUACCCAAUGAUAUCUCUAGAAGACAUCUGAAAGAGAUUAAAGAUUUAUCGGUGAUGGAUGGGGAUGCGUCUGAUUAGCGUUGGUUGGCGGGUAACGGCCACCAAGGCUACGAUCAGGUAGGGGUUCUGAGACGGAAGGUCCCCACAUUGGAACUGAGACACGGUCCAAACUCCACGGGAGCA